Molecule: ribosomal RNA, 253 nt
Filed under: uncultured bacterium
Lineage: Bacteria
Description: partial 16S ribosomal RNA
Rfam family: Bacterial small subunit ribosomal RNA
Source: RNAcentral
UACGAAGGGUGCAAGCGUUGUCCGGAAUUAUUGGGCGUAAAGAGCUCGUAGGCGGUCUGUCGCGUCGGCUGUGAAAACUCGGGGCUCAACCCCGAGCCUGCAGUCGAUACGGGCAGACUAGAGUGCUGUAGGGGAGACUGGAAUUCCUGGUGUAGCGGUGAAAUGCGCAGAUAUCAGGAGGAACACCGGUGGCGAAGGCGGGUCUCUGGGCAGUAACUGACGCUGAGGAGCGAAAGCGUGGGGAGCGAACAGG